This 445-nucleotide ribosomal RNA is filed under the name uncultured bacterium. RNAcentral's name for it is "partial 16S ribosomal RNA". It matches the Rfam family "Bacterial small subunit ribosomal RNA", at positions 354 to 796 of the family's 1533-position model. The record is from RNAcentral.
GUGAGGAAUAUUGCGCAAUGGAGGCAACUCUGACGCAGCCAUGCCGCGUGCAGGAAGAAGGCGCUACGCGUUGUAAACUGCUUUUAACCGGGAAGAAACCCCAGGACGUGUCCUGGGUUGACGGUACCGGAGGAAUAAGCACCGGCUAACUUCGUACCAGCAGCCGCGGUAAUACGAAGGGUGCAAGCGUUAUCCGGAUUCAUUGGGUUUAAAGGGUGCGUAGGCGGAGCGUUAAGUCAGUGGUGAAAUCCUGCAGCUUAACUGUAGACUUGCCAUUGAUACUGGCGCUCUUGAGUGCGCUUGAAGUGGGCGGAAUGUGCCGUGUAGCGGUGAAAUGCUUAGAUAUGGCACAGAACACCAAUUGCGAAGGCAGCUCACUAAGGCGAUACUGACGCUGAGGCACGAAAGCGUGGGGAUCGAACAGGAUUAGAAACCCGAGUAGUCC